UAAUGUUAGGCACUCUGUUUCUCAAUGUUGUUUCAGUGAAUGAUCCUGUAUUUUGAAAUGCUUUCACUACAUAGUGAGCAGAACCUAUCACUCCAUAAUUGUCCCUUAUCUUUGAAAUCUGAUGCAUUUGCACUAUCCAAGUGUGAUCAUUGAAAGGUGUGUGAGAAUGCUCAGCACAGCUGAACUCCUGGAAAAGCAAGGAUUUGUCAAAGCUGUUGUAAGGAGAGAAAAAGAGAUGAUCCAAACUGAUCAGAGCACCAGUUGGAUUAAGAUGUGACGAGGCUGGCGGGAUGCUGGUUGCCAGAAGAAAAGAGAUGCCAAAAUGGAAACAAUGUCCAUGAGGAGGGAAGAGGGAGCUUGCAUCUCGCUGCAGCAGUUUCAGACAAAUAUCAAGGAGAUCAUCAUUAACCUCUUUGAACAUGUAACAAGUAAAGCCACUAAAGCCCUCACUGGAAGCAGAAAUAAUUAUUUGAUAAAUUUGCAGGAGAAAUAUGAAGCCAACCUCCUAAAUUAAGGCAGAAGCGGAAUAAUUUGUAUUGGGCUAUUAAUACCAUUAAAAUUGAUUGCCUUAA
Hemicordylus capensis (graceful crag lizard) is the source of this 572-nucleotide long non-coding RNA. RefSeq lists it as uncharacterized. NCBI's taxonomy places the organism in Eukaryota, Metazoa, Chordata, Lepidosauria, Squamata, Cordylidae. The transcript is spliced from 2 exons. The record is from RefSeq and is a predicted model, not a curated record.